Molecule: small RNA, 180 nt
Filed under: Arabidopsis thaliana (thale cress)
Lineage: Eukaryota; Viridiplantae; Streptophyta; Magnoliopsida; Brassicales; Brassicaceae
Description: ATSL297870
Source: RNAcentral
AAUAUUUUAAAAUUUUAUAAAUAUUGAUUCAAAUACAUCUACCAUAUAACCCAAUUCCAAAAUAAAAUCCGUUCUGUAAUUUCUUUACCCGUCUCGUGAUUUUUUUUAAAGUAGUAAUUUUUAAAAUUUAAGAAUUAUUUAUUAUAUAUAAAAUUUUUGCAAAUUGUAUCAUUCUCUAUA